AUCUCUGUAGAGUCUGCAUAUCAAUAAGCGGAGGAAAAGAAACUAACAAGGAUUCCCUUAGUAACGGCGAGUGAAGCGGGAAGAGCUCAAAUUUGAAAUCUUCAAGGUUCUACCUUGACGAAUUGUAGUUUAAAGAAGUGUUUUCUGUUAGAUGAGUAGCAAAAGUUCCUUGGAAUGGGACAUCAUAGAGGGUGAGAAUCCCGUAUUUGGUUAUUCAUUCUAGCUUUGUGAUACACUUUCAAAGAGUCGGAUUGUUUGGGAAUGCAGUCCAAAAUGGGUGGUAAAUUUCAUCUAAAGCUAAAUAUUGGCGAGAGACCGAUCAGCGAACAAGUACCGUGAGGGAAAGAUGAAAAGAACUUUGAAAAGAGAGUUAAACAGUACGUGAAAUUGUCAAAAGGGAAGCGUUUGACACCAGUGUUGUUUUUCUCGAAAAUCAAUUACGAAUGGCUUGAUUUUGUGUUGUAUUGACCUUAUCAGCUUUCUGCACUUUUUUCGAGUCCUUUCUUAAUGCACUUUUCGGUUAACAAGUCAACAUCAAUUUCUUUUGUUGUAAAAGAGUCAUUGGAAGGUGGCUUUCACUUCGGUGAAAGUGUUUAUAGCCUUUGGCUUCUGCAAUCGGAGAGAUUGAGGUCUGCAGCGUAGAUCCUUCGGGGCUAGAUACGUAGAUGCUAAGUUAUAGUUUUUUAUAGACAACUUGUUGACUAUAAUUAAUCAUGUAGCUUACUCGUUUGCGCUAUUUUACCUACGCUUAGGAUGUUGACGAGACUGUCGAUCUC
Molecule: ribosomal RNA, 776 nt
Filed under: uncultured Neocallimastigales
Lineage: Eukaryota; Fungi; Neocallimastigomycota; Neocallimastigomycetes; Neocallimastigales
Description: partial large subunit ribosomal RNA
Rfam family: Eukaryotic large subunit ribosomal RNA
Source: RNAcentral